This 2160-nucleotide long non-coding RNA is filed under the name Homo sapiens (human). RNAcentral describes it as "HSALNT0006549". The record is from RNAcentral. Lineage: Eukaryota; Metazoa; Chordata; Mammalia; Primates; Hominidae.
GUCUCUUCCUUACCCAGAAACAUGAGGACCAGGGCUCCCCCUACCAUGAUCACCGUCUGCAGAGCAUCUGUGUAGAUCACGGCCAUGAGGCCACCUGGGGACCCAAGGAGAGGGCUCAUCAGUCAGCACCAGUUUGGGGUCCUCUCUGGCUGCCUGCCCUGUGCAUGGCCACACUGGGGAGACCAGAGAAGACACACAGCCCUCUUAGCAGGGGAACUCUGGCCACUGCCUUUCUCCGCACCUAGUGUUCCCCUCUCUCCCUCCCCGGCAGGAUGCCAGCUGGUCACAGUCAAAGGUGCUGGGGCCCCUUCUUUCUGUCUUGACAGCAGCUGACUGUGGCCAUCACACCACAGCUUUGUGUUAUUGUUUAAUAUCCCAAGUCCAUUCCUUGACUUGCAGUUCUGCCAGGAAUACUCCCUGCUUUCUCCUCCCAAUGCCCAUCUAAAUGCCCCCCUGUCUCUGGACCCCAACUUAACCAUAAGUAAGGCUGUCCUGUGCUGGCCUCCCAGGGUGCCCAGCCCUGUGCAAGGAGAUUUGGAGGAGGUGGGUUGUGGUCUCUGCCUGGGGCAGCCUGCAGUGACUCUGGCUUGGGUCAUAGUCCUCCUCUCUACCCUGCUCCCCAGGCAGUUAGUCUUUUGUGGUAUUUCUUACUGUCUCUCCUUCCCUGUCUCUGCCUGACCUGUUCCUCCUCCCAUUUCUGCCCUUUUUAUCCCCCUGGUCUCUGUCCCUGUGUCUGUCAUUCUGUUCCCCUGUGUUCUUCUCUUCUACGUCUCUGUCUCAGCCUCUCUUUGUCUCUGCCUCUCCUGUUUCUCCUCUCUGUCAGCAUCAGCUUUCUGUCACUCUGUCUCUCUCUCUGGUUGUCUCUCCUUCAGUCUUUCUCUCUGGGUCUCUGCCAGUCAGAAGCUUUCCUCUUGCCCUCUUCCCUCUGCCUACCUGCAAUGGUGUAGACGGCAGUCACCACCAGCAGGAUCCCUGUGGAGAGGUACAGGUUCCAGCCCAAUGCCAUCUGGAUGAAGAGGGCUCCAGAGAAGAUGUCAGUCUGCAGAGAGCCAGGACCCAAGAGGCCAGACCACCCGAGGCCCUCAGUAGGACACUGAGGCGCCAUGGAGACUUUAAAGCAGAGAAGUACUGUAUAAAGCCUCCAAACUGAGAUAAAUUUAAUCACGUAGCUGGUCUGCUGGACAUGAAGGGAGUGGUGAGGAAUGAAGUGGAAGGCUGAGGAAGUGAAGGAAGGUGCUGGGCUGGAGAAGAAGAGCUCAUUUAGGAGAAGAGAGGAAGAACCGGAGAGUUGCUGGCUGCUCCCUGGCAGAGCAGAGCCUGCUUGGCUGUCAGGUGGCCCACGGCUGACCCAAUGCGGCAGGAGCCCUGGUGCAGAUAGGCAUGGGUCUGGGUCAUCUACAUACUUGGGUUUAUUAGCAGACAUGGGCUUAUAGCCUGAGCUUAAGCUGACUUAGGAUGUUCUCAAAUAUUGGUGGAACAAGGGCCUUAAAGUGUUUUUCAGCCCUAGACCUGGCAACGGAGUGAUUCAGUUCUCUUUAGUGUAUGCUUGUGGAUACCAUUCCAUGAUUGUUUUGUGAACCUGUUACAGGGUCUAAAACAUAACAGAGUGGAAGGAGCCUGGACUGGGUCAUGGAACCCACACUUCAGCUUCAGUUCUAGAGCUAGCCCUCUGUGUGGGCUUGGGCAAGUCAUUUGACCUGUCUAGGUUUGUUUCCUGAUUUUAGGUCAGUAGAGGAGGACUAAAGACCUUUCUAACUCCAAAAAUCUAGGCAACUAAUGUACAGUUGAUGAACAAAGAAUCCAUUAAUGAAAAAAUAAAUGAAUGAACUCUGGAUUGUGAUUUAUUUGAGUGUAGGGGCUGUCAUUCACUCCAAAAACAUUUAUCAUUCAUCUCUGAGUACCCCAGUGCUGAGGCAGAACAUGCAUUAAAUGUUUAUAGGUCCUGCUUUCCUUUUUUUCAACAGUGAUUGUCAGCUUCCCCUCAGCAACACGCACAUGGUGAUGCACUCAGCAGUUCCCUAAUUAGCAUUUCCAGACACAGUGACCACAUUGCAGUGACACCUACCGAGAUCUUGGUGAAGAUGUAGAGGAUGAGAGACAGGACAGACAUGUACACCUGGAUCCUCUGGCCCCCAAAUCGCUUCUUCAGAUACUGCGGCA